CUUGGCUUGAUAUCUAACAGACUGAUGAAACCUCCCAAAACUCUUUCCACUAUUUUUUUACUAUCAUCUCUCGAAUCAUUCCACCACAUGUGGAGCUGCAGAUGGAUCUCGCUAAAGACUGAGAAUGGUUCAAUUUGAUUUGUGCUCAUCCUGAACAUUUAUUAAGGCGAUUAAGCAAAAGAAAAACUUUUAUUCGACUAAAGAAAAAGAUAAAACUAUUUAUAUGUUGUUUUGUGUAUUUUCAAAUUGGAAAAUAAAAGACUCAAUUUUCAAACACGGCCUUUCAGCACUUCGGAAACGAAGAUUUUAUGGUUGUGUAGUUAACCAGUCAAAAAUCACAAUUGACCCAAAAAAUGGCCAUUUACGCAAAUUCAACCUUCUGGCAUCCCGUUUGGGAACGUUGGCUAUUUUUGACAAAACAGCAUCACCUGGUUUAUUUAUCACAAAAAUUAAAAUUUUGACAUUUUUUUGGCUAUUUUUGUAAAGGGGAGGUUGGAGAUGAGGGUUGCCUACGUAUCCUACACCAUAUGAGAAUCAAACCGGCGUAGUUCGGACAAAUAAACUAACUAAUUUUGAGGCAAAAAUCUUUUCAAACCAUUUUUGACUAAAAAAACAUUUUUCCUUUCUUCCAAAUUUCAAAUUUCGGCAGAGUUCAUACAUCAUUUGGGCAUUGGUUUUCUAUACUAAUCAGUUAACUCUUCAACUUGCUAUUUUUCUCUUUUCAUCAUUUUUCUAACAUCCCCGAGAUUCAAAAGCGGUUCAACAUGCAAGCCCGAGCAAAUAAAUGCAUAGAAAACAAGUAUGAUGCAUUAGGAUGGUCUCUUCAUUUCAGGUUGCUAGCCCGUAAACGGACCCAACCCCUGUGUUGAGUCCCCUAAGUCAAAAUGCAAAUGAUGCAAAUAAGCGUUCCUACUGGGGAUCCGGAAUGAGGCUGAGUUAUGCUUGGUUCAAAAGCUGGGUGUUUGUUCUAGACCUGGCUUACCCGAGCGGACAACUCGAGGCGAGGGGGAGGCGACAAUCCGGGAAUACAGAAGCUUCGCCGGCUUUGCGACUUAUCCAAACCUCGUUCUAAAUUGGAAUUUGACACUAGACAGAAAAGAGGUCGUACACCGUACACCCUUCUUCAAUAUUCAGAAGACUCAGAGAGGAGAUGGGUUUUGGAACAAUUUAUAUACAGUUCACGUAAUUUCAAAGCGGUAAAAUCAAUCAACUAGCUCAUUAAGCACAUAUCAUGUAACAGAUAAAGCCAAACACAACAAUUAUUCUAAGCUCGAAUUCUGAACCCUGAACAAAACGUACUGGGUUCUCUCCCCAGGUGAAUCGCCAGAGCUGUCACACCUCCUUUUUAUACAUCUACCCCGAAGGAUAAUGUAUAAGGGAGUUUUUCUAUUUAAAGUGACAUUAUUCGGAUCGGGAUUAUUUAUUUAUUUAGAGCCGCCACUUGGGAAAGAUUUGGCUUUUGGUGUCUCAAGUCACCAGUUUAUCUUGAAUCCCGAACCGAGGAGAACUUCGACUUCCGAAUGGAGUCUGCGAACUAGAAAUUCUGAAUAAGGAAUUCUGUUGACUCGAGGGAAGGUGUUAGGCACCCUCGGAUCACGUGGUUCUAGCGCGGUCGCUUAAAUUGUUAUGAAUGGCAAAAUUUGAUUUUAAUACUCAGAGUCGCUGCUUGGGAUAAAUUUGGCUUUUGGUGUCCCAAGUCACCAGUUAAGCUUGAAUACAAAUCCGAGGAAAAUAUUCGACUUCCCAAUUGUAGUCUGAGAACCGGAUAUCAUUAAUAAGGAAUUCUGUUGACCCGAGGGAAGGUGUUAGUCACCCUCGGAUCUCGUGGUUCUAGUACGGUCGCUUAAAUUGAUAUGAAUGGCUAAAAUCUGAUUUUAAUACAUGGAGAGCCUAUGUUCCAAUUUUAUGUUCAACUGUUUUUAUUUAUUAAGUAUUUAUUUAAGAGAAAGUGAACGUCAUUUAAAGUGUGUUUUCGGAUUGCGCAACAUCAAAUGAACCCGCAAUCCUAGGCACACUCUAUUCAACGUUUUAGGAUUUAGAUUUAGGCAGCAUAAAAUAGCCACCCGCAUUUAGGAAUGUAAUUUUUUAAAGUCGCGUCUAAUAGAGUCUAACACGUUGCAAUCUUUUGGGAGGGCUGUGAAAUUCGCUAAAAGGCCCUUCCCGAUUUUCUAAAUAUUUUUUAAACUUUUAUUGAGGGACCCCGCAAUUUGUACUUUUGUUGGACGAUGCUCGUCUUAUUUUAUUUUAAAGGAUAAACCUAAAAGGGUAACUAUAUUUUCUAUUUUUUUUAUUUUUGUCUCUAAUAAUAAAAGAAAGAUCCUAAUUUAUUAUAUUUAAAAUUCGGGCAUUAGGUUCAAGUCCGGGUCCAAACAAAAGGACGAGCCUUUUAGCUUAAAACCCGCUACCUAACUCAAAACCCAAAUUUCAAAUACCAAUUAAUUCAUGUGAAAGAAAAUGCAAAUUUGGCCCAAAUGGCUAAGCCAUUGAGCCCAAUCAACUAUCCCAGGCGGACAGAUUUGAAGUCUGGGCCUGAACUUUGACUCAAGCCAAAAGCUGAUCAUUCACAUAAGAGAUUGGGGGAUCGAGCCCCAACGACCAAUUGGAAUAACCACCUCUCAAACUUUAUUCAAAAUCAACAAGUUAAAUGUCAAACAAUAUAAAUACUUCAAGUUGUUUCAAUUUUAGAUAUCAUUAAUUAUCAAACGUUAUUGCUUCAUGCUAAUACUUGAUCUCACUAAAUCAUGUUUCAAAUGAUGAUUAACAAAGGCCUGUUUUAAUUACUUCAUGACAUAUGCAAACAAUUAUCAAUUCUUCACAGUGAACUAUUAUAAUUUCAAACCAUGUUUCAGUUGUUUCUCUAACCAAAAAGAAGAAAUUAUGCAUAAAUAAUAUAAUCAUUGGUUACAACUAAUAACUAACUAAAUUACAAUGGAGAUUUGAGUUACCAAUUCAAAAUCCACUCAGUCUUCAUGUCAAACACCAAACUACUGUCCAGUUUAUCUUAAAUUAGACAACCCCAAAUUUUCAUGUGCUACAGAUUGAAAUAAAACAUGUUCAAACUAUAUUACAACUAUUUAAUCAAUAUGGAUUAGAUCUGGACAAAAAAACAUGAUUCAGGUGUAAAAUACUUUCAGCUUUCAUUUCCCUUCAAAAGCUACAUCAAAGCCAAGUUCAUAUGUGUACCUGAAAGUGCAAAGUAACCAAUGAAAAGAGGAGGGUCAGCAGCAAUUCAAGUAGCAAAUCACAGCAACAGGAAGCAACAAGCAGUAUCACAGCACCACUGAUUCACUCCCAAACCAGCUAAAAUAGUCACAGCAAGCUCAAAACUGACCCAGACUAAGACUCAACCAAAUGCAGCUUACUUGGAUCCAGAUUCAUUCAAACCAAGUUCACAAAUCCUAGCAAAUUAACCUAGAAAAUGAACAGGAACAACUAGAACCCGGCAAAAACUACUACAUCCAUGAAAUCUGAUAAAACAGCUUGAAAUUGAAACUCAAACAGCAAAGAACAAAAGAUCUCAAUUGAAGCUAUCUUCGAACCAAUGGAACAAUCAUCAUUUUUUGGUUUUUUGAAUGUUUUUUGUGUAUUUUUAGUUUUGGAACUGGAAAAUUAGCUGGGAUUUCUAGAAAAAUGAAGAAACAAGCACGGUCUUAGAGCUUUUUAGGCUG
Molecule: long non-coding RNA, 3668 nt
Filed under: Nicotiana benthamiana
Lineage: Eukaryota; Viridiplantae; Streptophyta; Magnoliopsida; Solanales; Solanaceae
Description: long non-coding RNA (NBEN_LNC004459)
Source: RNAcentral